AAUCUGCCUUUUUACAUAAAGAAUAUAGCAGAGGAAGCAGUCAGAUAUGCAUUCAUCUCAGGCGAGACUCAGAGGGAUGAUUUUGAGUUCUGUCUGUCCGUUGUCCACAAAUGGGAUAAUCACUCUAUGAUUUCCUUCUUAUGCAUGUUAAUAAGUGCAUAUGCCUUUGCUCCUAUUAACCUGCCCCUUGAGCUCUUGCUCCUGCCUACCAUCCUGCUUCUAGGCUGGUGCAUCUGCAGCUGUUUUGUCACUAGAAGAAGACAGCUUGCCUAAGAACAAAAUCAAUCAAGCCAAAGCCAAAAAGCAAGAGAGAAGAGAAAUCAAGUCCUGACCAUUUCAUUUGAACUCAUAGAUUGAACCAUGCAUGAAGCUAAAACUACCUCUACAUGAAGCUAAAACCAUUCAUGAAACUAAACCGUGCACACAUGAAACUAUGUAUAAGGCUUAUUACGAAGCUAGUGUCCAGAAUUUUUAACAGUCCUGGUCUUGCUC
This 492-nucleotide long non-coding RNA is filed under the name Pan troglodytes (chimpanzee). Its description in RNAcentral is "long non-coding RNA NONPTRT007226". Lineage: Eukaryota; Metazoa; Chordata; Mammalia; Primates; Hominidae. The record is from RNAcentral.